UACCAAGCUGCCAGCUAGUUGCCAAC
This 26-nucleotide unclassified non-coding RNA is filed under the name Mus musculus (house mouse). RNAcentral describes it as "oocyte_clustered_small_RNA2896". Lineage: Eukaryota; Metazoa; Chordata; Mammalia; Rodentia; Muridae. The record is from RNAcentral.